Molecule: long non-coding RNA, 1918 nt
Organism: Lepisosteus oculatus (spotted gar)
Lineage: Eukaryota; Metazoa; Chordata; Actinopteri; Semionotiformes; Lepisosteidae
Source: Ensembl
AUGAGGCCUGUAAUGACAAGAGUGUCACCACCCCCAACAUGCAUCAGUGUUUCUGCCAGGGAGACCUUCCACAGCAACUCAGCUGGAGAGAAGUUAUUUCAAAGUCGACCCACAACUAUCGGCAUUGUUUGGCAAAAGGAGGACGAUGAAGAACAAGAAAAAAGGACAUCUAAAUGUGAAAGGAGGAUGACUCACAACACACAGAGUCAGUCCAGUGAGGAGGUGGAUGCCGAUAAUAUAUAUAUGGAAAUGCAUGGACAGCUAAAUGAGCAACGUUGCAAAGAGGAUGACGAUGAUGUUUAUGAAGAAUUCCAUGUCACUAAGGACUGUAAAGACACUGACUCUCAAGGAAAGAGGCUCUCAAAUCUUUCAAUAGUGGGAACUCCAUAGCAGCUGUUUUCUCAUAAUGUCAUAAUGUUAACCUACUCAAACUCUAGGUAGUUAAUAACAGCUAAUAACAGUUAAUAACAUAAGGAUGCUGAACACGGAUAUUUGUUGCUGGAUGUUUGAAGUUUCUAAGAAAUUAAGGCAGACAGUAAAGACCACCACUCAAAUUCUGCAAUAAAACAGAUAGAACAAGAACAAGAAACGAUAACGUUUUUGGUCACAUGUUUAAUUAAAAUGGUUUUUCAAACAUUUCAGGUUCUGAACCGACAGUUACAUUAAAAAGAAUUAAAAACCUUCAAGAAUAAAACUAGAUUAUAUUAUUAUAUUAUAUUUUAAACCAAAUACACAUUGCUGUCAUUUUUAUUACAGUACGUAUUAUGAGAGUAUUAGACUUUUCUUCCAAUGCUUCAAUGAACUGAAUAUCUCUCUAUAAAAUAUUUUCUCUGCUCAGUAAAACUUGAUAGAGAAAGUAUGUCUGUAUGUUAGCCCAUUAUCUCAGAGUGCCUGGUUGACUUAUUCAUAUUUUAUCCUAUCACCUUAUACAUGAAAAGGCAUUCCUUUGCAUCUUGCAUUAUUAGAGCUUAAUAUGUGUAAGAUGUGUUUACAGUAUGUCCUUCUGAAUAUUAUAUUUGUACCAGCAUUAUCUAAUUUUAAAUACAAUAAAAUACAAAUGAUUUCAAAUUGAAAUUGAUUGCUACUCAUAAAGCACACCUGUCCUGCUAAGAAAAGUCUUUUUCAUUGUCAUUGUUCAGGUUUGUAUGGUACAGUAGUAUUUUCUGUGCUAAAUGGACUGUGAAAGGAAUUGGAAAAAAAGCACACAGGGGAUCAUGUGUGGUUAUACCCUGUUAUUUUGACUACCCAACAAAUGGCAAAAAUGACGUGAAGUGACCAUUAUAUGGUGAAACAUCUAACAUGAAGCCAUUUACCACUCUCGUGGAUUAAAUGUACUGUCAAGAUUUGUAGGAAGAACAAGCUUAUUUGGAGAUGAUACCAAGAGAAAUUGCACUAUGCAGAUUUCAAACUUCAGCAUGAGGACCAAAAUGCAUAGUAUCUCAGACUUGAGGCAAAAGACAUGAAAAACAGCUAUAUCGAAAACAAGGUUGCACUUCUUGUUUUAGGUAAAUGUAGUAAAAUUACCAGAACCUUUCUUGUAUUAGCAAUGUGAUAGAAUACGCCAAACGUAUUAUUGUUCUGAAUUAAGUACUUCCUUAAUCAGGGAGCAGAAGCUUAGGGGACAAAGUACUAAUUUUACUGCAGAAAACCUCCAUGCCUGUUGGCCAAUGCAUAGGAAUUUAUCAUGUGGUAUUGCCCUCUAGUGGAAAAAGAAGAAAUGAACAUUAAAAAGUCUUGAAUUAAAGUAAAACUAAAGAGGAACUUCCAGGUUGCUAGCUUGGAUGAUGGUGAUAAUAACACUUUAUUCUGUCGUAUAUACUGUACAUGCACAGGUACAUAAUCUAUCUAAGAUAUUUAACACUUUCAGGAAUACUGUAAAGGUUUUCACGGUGAAUACAGUUUGAAUGCUGAAGAGAGA